This 430-nucleotide ribosomal RNA is filed under the name uncultured bacterium. RNAcentral describes it as "partial 16S ribosomal RNA". It matches the Rfam family "Bacterial small subunit ribosomal RNA", at positions 29 to 507 of the family's 1533-position model. The record is from RNAcentral.
ACGCACGCUGGCGGCAGGCUUCACACCUGCAAGUCGCGCGCCCCGCAAGGGGAGCGGCAGACGGGUGAGUAACGCGUGGGAACGUACCUUUUGGUUCGGAACAACUCCGGGAAACUGGAGCUAAUACCGGAUAAGCCCUAACGGGGAAAGAUUUAUCGCCGAAAGAUCGGCCCGCGUCUGAUUAGCUAGUUGGUGAGGUAACGGCUCACCAAGGCGACGAUCAGUAGCUGGUCUGAGAGGAUGAUCAGCUACACUGGGACUGAGACACGGCCCAGACUCCUACGGGAGGCAGCAGUGGGGAAUAUUGGACAAUGGGCGCAAGCCUGAUCCAGCCAUGCCGCGUGAGUGAUGAAGGCCUUAGGGUUGUAAAGCUCUUUUGUCCGGGGAGAUAAUGACUGUACCGGAAGAAUAAGCCCCGGCUAACUUCGUG